AAAGGAGUUUGGGUCAGUCUCUGGAAGGCCAGUGAUUCACUUCAGAACUCCUGGAGUUACUUUUCUGCUUUGCUAAUUAUGGGGAGGUUGAGAUGAUCCAGAAAUCAUAUUCCAACAUGUAUAUGUUAAAGUAAAUGGAGGACGGGACCAAAAGAGACUUCUAAGGCUGAGAGAAUUAUUCAUUCUUAUAAAUUCCACCACAUUCCUGAAUAUUGGAGCAGUCCUGGGAAUGGGUUCUGUGUGAGAUCAGUUCCUCAUCAACAGCUAAAGAAAGAGAUCUUCAGAAUUGUCUUACUCCAGGGACGCCUGGGUGGCUCAGCCAGAAUUGUCUUACUCCACAGUUGAGUAGAUGUUCCUUGUUUUUCUGAGUGAGACAUCUGGGUGAACUUCCAGAAGAAGCAAGCUCAAAUCCUGGAAUAUGAAUAAAUUAGGAGUCAGUGGUCA
Molecule: long non-coding RNA, 444 nt
Filed under: Ursus maritimus (polar bear)
Lineage: Eukaryota; Metazoa; Chordata; Mammalia; Carnivora; Ursidae
Description: lncRNA (ENSUMAG00000023228.1)
Source: RNAcentral